CAGUCGCCACGGGAAUACGGAGGGUGCAAGCGUUAAUCGGAAUUACUGGGCGUAAAGCGUGCGUAGGCGGUUCGUUAAGUCUGUUGUGAAAGCCCCGGGCUCAACCUGGGAACGGCAAUGGAUACUGGCGAGCUAGAGUGUGUCAAAGGAUGGUGGAAUUCCCGGUGUAGCGGUGAAAUGCGUAGAGAUCGAGGAGGAACAUCAGUGGCGAAGGCGGCCAUCUGGGACAACACUGACGCUGGGGCACGAAAGCGUGGGGAGCAAACAGGAUUAGAUACCCCCGUAGUCCCUGUCUCUUAUA
Molecule: ribosomal RNA, 301 nt
Filed under: uncultured bacterium
Lineage: Bacteria
Description: partial 16S ribosomal RNA
Rfam family: Bacterial small subunit ribosomal RNA
Source: RNAcentral